GGGCUUUCGGGUUUCGGGUUUUGGGUUUGGGGGUUGGGGUUUAGGAAUAACGACGAAACUUAAAAUUAAAUAUGGGGUUUGGAAUAUAUGAAGUAGAAAAUUAAAGAUGGGGGUUUGGGUUUUGGGUUUCGGGUUUAGGCUUUCGGGUUUCGGGUUUGGGGAUUGGGGUUUGGGGUUUCGGGUAUGGGGUUUCGGGUUUCGGAUUCUAGGGAUUUAAACAUAACACUCGUUAAUUCCACGUAGGAUGAAAUCGUCGUAAAUACCACGUAAGCAUAAAUCAUCGUAAGGACCACGUAACCAGAAAUCGUCGUAAAGACCACGUAAA
RNAcentral lists this long non-coding RNA (325 nucleotides) under Brassica napus (rape). RNAcentral describes it as "long non-coding RNA (BNAP_LNC011475)". Lineage: Eukaryota; Viridiplantae; Streptophyta; Magnoliopsida; Brassicales; Brassicaceae. The record is from RNAcentral.